UGCCAAGAUAUUUAGUUUUAGGAAUUGAGGUUGUGGAAAUUAUUGAAUUGACAUAUUGGAGGAGGCAAUGACUUGCAUGAACACUCACUCAACCCUUCAUAUUCUUCUUCCUUCUUCCUCAAAUGGGAAGGGAACCCCAACUUUCUCUUUUUACUUUUUCCAAACUUUUUUUUGCUUUCCAUCUCCCCAUCCCAAUGGGUAACUGCUUAAAUUCUUCUGCUAAAGUUCAAAAUGCCCACACCUCCCAAGGAACUCACGAAAUCUGGUUAUGUUUUUAAAGGAUGGAUUGAUGAAAACAUGUGGGCUACAGCGAGGUUGGAAUUGGGAAUGGUUGUUGCAGUCAAGAAGCAUAAGCCUGAAGCUUCCCAAGGCCACAAAGAGUGGUCGACAGAGGUUAAUACUUGGGAAAAUUUCAUCAUCCAAAUCUAGUUAAGCUGAUUGGGUAUUGCUUGGAAGGCGAGAAUCGUUUGUUGGUAUACGAGUUUAUGCCGAGAGGGAGCUUGGAGAAUCAUCUCUUCAGAAAUGUAAUUCAACAAGGUCACAUGCUAAGUUCUGUUGUGCAACCUCUUUCUUGGGCAUUGAGGAUCAAAGUGGCAAUAGCUGCUGCCAGAGGGCUUUCCUUUCUCCAUGAAGCCGAAUUGCAUGUUAUCUAUCGCGAUUUUAAGGCAUCCAACAUCCUACUUGAUGCGGAAAGCAAAGCUUUCUGAUUUUGGUUUGUCGAAGGCUGGUCCAACGGGAGAUAGAACUCAUGUAACUACUCAAAUGUUAUAGGGAACACCCGUGGCUAUGCUGCACCUGAAUAUAUUGCUACAGGUUCGUAACAUACCCUAUAUUAUUGCACUUUUGCAAAGUGUUGGUGGUUUUCUCUUUUAUUUACACAAGCUGAAAUACGUGUUAGCGAAAUCUGAAAGGAUAAAGCAUUAUUUUUUAUAAGCCAUUUAGUCUUACAAUAUUUAACUUAUAAAUACUCCUUCAACCGAUGAAUUUGUUUGAUUUGUUAUCUAUGUUUUCAAAACCUAUGUCAAGGGUUUGAAAGCAAAAUGAGUAGACCCGGUUUGAUAACGGUUCAGUUUUUAGAAAAUGUACACGAAACAUAUUCCUUGCUUUUACACUACGCAAUAUCCAUUAUCCAUGUAAUAUAUUUCAUUGAGGUUUCUGCUUUA
This is a long non-coding RNA of Cucumis melo (muskmelon), 1163 nucleotides long. RefSeq lists it as uncharacterized. Lineage: Eukaryota; Viridiplantae; Streptophyta; Magnoliopsida; Cucurbitales; Cucurbitaceae. The record is from RefSeq and is a predicted model, not a curated record. The transcript is spliced from 5 exons.